GCAAGUCGAGCGCGAAAUCACUUCGGUGAGAGUAGAGCGGCGGACGGGUGAGUAAUGCUUGGGAAUCUGCCCGGUAGUGGGGGAUAACGUGUGGAAACGCACGCUAAUACCGCAUACGUCCUACGGGAGAAAGCAGGGGAUCUUCGGACCUUGCGCUAUCGGAUGAGCCCAAGUCGGAUUAGCUAGUUGGUGGGGUAAAGGCCUACCAAGACAUCGAUCAGUAGCUGGUCUGAGAGGAUGAUC
Molecule: ribosomal RNA, 243 nt
Filed under: uncultured bacterium
Lineage: Bacteria
Description: partial 16S ribosomal RNA
Rfam family: Bacterial small subunit ribosomal RNA
Source: RNAcentral